AGUAAUGAAUCGCUAAUGUACCCCGGACUCUGGGAUAGCCGGCCGAAAGGCCGGGUAAUACCAGAUGACAUCAUCCCCCCGCAUGGGGGGAUGCUCAAAGGUCCGCCGGUCUGGGAGCAGGCGAUUUCGUAUCAGCUAGUUGGUGAGGUAACGGCUCACCAAGGCGACGACGCGUAGCCGGACUGAGAGGUUGGCCGGCCACAUUGGGACUGAGACACUGCCCAG
This 225-nucleotide ribosomal RNA is filed under the name uncultured bacterium. Its description in RNAcentral is "partial 16S ribosomal RNA". It matches the Rfam family "Bacterial small subunit ribosomal RNA", at positions 109 to 334 of the family's 1533-position model. The record is from RNAcentral.